UUUUCUGUGGAUUUUGUGUCUUAGUAUUUCAAAACCUGUUUCUGUGGCUGCAAACAUUUUAAUUGAUAGAUGUGGAUUUAUAUUUAAAUAGCGAAUGUAUAUUUGUGAAUCUGUGGUGAAUGGUGUAUGAAUGUAUAUCUGUGGUUAUUUGUAUGUUCAUCUGGUUGUGUUUGUUGUAUCAUUGAACUCUUGUACUUGUGCGACGACGUGCAAAUACAGGGGAGACUCU
This 229-nucleotide long non-coding RNA is filed under the name Ananas comosus (pineapple). RNAcentral's name for it is "long non-coding RNA (ACOM_LNC041011)". The record is from RNAcentral. Lineage: Eukaryota; Viridiplantae; Streptophyta; Magnoliopsida; Poales; Bromeliaceae.